Long non-coding RNA from Anolis carolinensis (green anole), 1129 nucleotides. RefSeq lists it as uncharacterized. The record is from RefSeq and is a predicted model, not a curated record. Lineage: Eukaryota; Metazoa; Chordata; Lepidosauria; Squamata; Anolidae. The transcript has 2 exons.
CGAAAGCAUCGCAUUGCAUUAAUUUCCAGGCCGGGCUCCAGUGUGGCUCCCAGAGAUGUAGCCGGAGGUGUUCCGUUCAGUUCCGGUUCAGGACAAUACAGACAAUUUUAUGAUCCAGAAGGUAGAAGAGGCAACAAGGGGAUCGGCUACACUUGAUCUCAUCUUAACAAAUGUGGAAGACCUGAUCAAUACAGUCAAAGUGGUUGGAUCCUUAGGGGCAAGUGGCCAUGUGCUCCUGCAGUUCACUUUACAAAGGAAGGCUGAAACUAAGACCAAUCAAACACGCAUUCUGAACUUUAAGAGAGCUGACUUCCAAAAAAUGAAGAAAAUAUCUGAGUGGCAUUCCAUGGACGCCAAGGGAGUUAAGGAUGGAUGGGAGUUUUUCAAAAAUGAAAUACUCAAGGCGCAAAUGCAAACAGUGCCAACAAAGAAUAAAAAUAAGACAAGUGUGAAGAAGCCAGAAUGGAUGUCCAAAGAACUUCUAACUGAGCUAAAGCUCAAAAGUGACAUGCCCAAGAAGUGGAAAAGGGGAGAAAUCACCAAAGAAGAAUUCAAACGUAUAGCCAACACCUGUAGGGAAAAGGUUCGCAAGGCUAAAGCGCAAAAUGAGCUCAGGCUUGCCAGAGACAUUAACAACAACAUUUAUAUUGUGAUUUAUGUAUAUGUCAACGGUUGUUUUAGGGUUUUGUCCCCAUGUAAGCCGCCCCGAUGAAGGUGGGGUAUAAGAAAAAAAUAUUAUUAUUAAUUAUUAUUAUUAAAAGGCUACAUAAAUCAAUGGUGAGAUGAUACCGUAAAAUGCUACAGAAACUAUUAUAUAAGUUAGCAAUUGCAUACUUAAAAACCAAUUAAAAUUCAGUAUUAUUAAAGAAACACUUUGGAGAUUGACAGCCACACUAUGAUUAUGUAAAAGCAUCUCCAGAACAGUCAGUUGCAAUAUCAGAAAUUACUGGUGGGGCUGGACUAAUAACAGGUGAUGAUGGGAGCUGUAGUUUACCCAUAUUCGCUUGCACUGUCUAAUGCGUCCACCCCAACAAUCAAUACUUAUGAAUGUUUAUUGUUACAGAAGAACGGCCCCAGGCAUCACUGGGAACUUCAGCUCGUAGAUCAAUAAAAUCAAACGGUAAAGCAA